RNAcentral lists this ribosomal RNA (466 nucleotides) under uncultured bacterium. Its description in RNAcentral is "partial 16S ribosomal RNA". It matches the Rfam family "Bacterial small subunit ribosomal RNA", at positions 28 to 507 of the family's 1533-position model. The record is from RNAcentral.
GACGAACGCUGGCGGUGUGCUUAACACAUGCAAGUCGAACGGUAAGGCCCUUUCGGGGGUACACGAGUGGCGCACGGGUGAGUAACACGUGAGUAACCUGCCCUCAUCUCUGGGAUAACAGUCGGAAACGGUUGCUAAUACUGGAUAUGAGCUUGCAAGGCAUCUUGUGGGUUGGAAAGAUUUUUUUGGUUGGGGAUGGACUCGCGGCCUAUCAGCUUGUUGGUGAGGUAGUGGCUCACCAAGGCGUCGACGGGUAGCCGGCCUGAGAGGGCGACCGGCCACAUUGGGACUGAGAUACGGCCCAAACUCCUACGGGAGGCAGCAGUGGGGAAUAUUGCACAAUGGACGGAAGUCGGAUGCAGCAACGCCGCGUGCGGGAUGACGGCCUUAGGGUUGUAAACCGCUUUCAAUUGUGACGAAGCUUUUUGUGACGGUAGCAGUAGAAGAAGCACCGGCUAACUACGUG